AACGAACGCUGGCGGCAUGCCUAACACAUGCAAGUCGAACGAGACCUUCGGGUCUAGUGGCGCACGGGUGCGUAACGCGUGGGAACCUGCCCUUAGGUUCGGAAUAACUCCCCGAAAGGGGUGCUAAUACCGGAUAAUGUCUUCGGACCAAAGAUUUAUCGCCUUUGGAUGGGCCCGCGUUGGAUUAGCUAGUUGGUAGGGUAAAAGCCUACCAAGGCGACGAUCCAUAGCUGGUCUGAGAGGAUGAUCAGCCACACUGGGACUGAGACACGGCCCAGACUCCUACGGGAGGCAGCAGUGGGGAAUAUUGGACAAUGGGCGAAAGCCUGAUCCAGCAAUGCCGCGUGAGUGAUGAAGGCCUUAGGGUUGUAAAGCUCUUUUACACGGGAUGAUAAUGACAGUAACGGGAGAAUAAGCUCCGGCUAACUCCGUG
RNAcentral lists this ribosomal RNA (433 nucleotides) under uncultured bacterium. Its description in RNAcentral is "partial 16S ribosomal RNA". It matches the Rfam family "Bacterial small subunit ribosomal RNA", at positions 29 to 507 of the family's 1533-position model. The record is from RNAcentral.